AAGCGUUAAGGAUAGUAGCGGCAUCCUUUUUUUGGCUACCCACAAUAAUAGUUUUGGCCAAAAAAAGAUAUAGCGAAUAGCCUGCCCGAUA
Molecule: non-coding RNA, 91 nt
Filed under: unclassified sequences
Also listed under: 1 other name
Description: Flavo-1 RNA
Rfam family: Flavo-1 RNA
Source: RNAcentral